RNAcentral lists this ribosomal RNA (476 nucleotides) under uncultured bacterium. RNAcentral's name for it is "bacterial SSU rRNA". It matches the Rfam family "Bacterial small subunit ribosomal RNA", at positions 29 to 480 of the family's 1533-position model. The record is from RNAcentral.
AACUAACGCUGGCGGCGUGCCUAACACAUGCAAGUCGUACGAGAAAGCCGGCUUCGGCUGGUGAGUAAAGUGGCGCACGGGUGAGUAACGCGUGGAUAAUCUGCCCUUAAGUGUGGAAUAACGUACCGAAAGGUGCGCUAAUACCGCAUAAUGCCUGGCAACACAAGUUGUCCGGCCAAAGAAGGCCUCUGUUUACAAGCUUUCGCUUCAGGAUGAGUCCGCGUACCAUUAGCUUGUUGGUGGGGUAAUGGCCUACCAAGGCUGCGAUGGUUAGCUGGUCUGAGAGGAUGAUCAGCCACACUGGAACUGAGACACGGUCCAGACUCCUACGGGAGGCAGCAGUGAGGAAUAUUGCGCAAUGGGGGCAACCCUGACGCAGCAACGCCGCGUGAGUGAGGAAGGUUUUCGGACUGUAAAGCUCUGUCGAGCGGGAAGAAGUGUACCAUGGCUAAUAUCCAUGAUAUUUGACGGUACUG